UUUCCGUAGGUGAACCUGCGGAAGGAUCAUUAUUGAAUAAACUUGAUGUGGUUGUAGCUGGCUCUCUUGGGGGUAUGUGCUCGCCCGUCAUCUUUAUAUUUCCACCUGUGCACUUUUUGUAGAUUUAGAUGUGACUUUCUGAGGCAACUCAGUUGGGAGGAAUGUCAAUUCGUUGGCUUUCCUUGUAUGUCCAAAUCUAUGUUUUUAUAUACUCCAGAAUGUAAUAGAAUGUAUCAAUGGGCCUUGUGCCUAUAAAACUAUAUACAACUUUCAGCAACGGAUCUCUUGGCUCUCGCAUCGAUGAAGAACGCAGCGAAAUGCGAUAAGUAAUGUGAAUUGCAGAAUUCAGUGAAUCAUCGAAUCUUUGAACGCACCUUGCGCCCCUUGGUAUUCCGAGGGGCAUGCCUGUUUGAGUGUCAUUAAAUUCUCAACCUUACUAGCUUUUAUGAGCAAUGUAAUGGCUUGGAUGUGGGGGUCUUUUUUUUUGCUGGCUUCGAAAGAAAUCAGCUCCCCUAAAAUGUAUUAGCUGGUGCCCCCGUGUGGACUAUCUACUGGUGUGAUAAUUAUCUAUGCCGUUAGAUGUCUGCUUUAAAUAGGGAUGUGCUGCUUCUAAUUGUCCACUUAGGACACUUAUUGACUAUUUGACCUCAAAUCAGGUAGGACUACCCGCUGAACUUAAGCAUAUC
RNAcentral lists this ribosomal RNA (686 nucleotides) under Gymnopilus penetrans. RNAcentral's name for it is "eukaryotic LSU rRNA". The stretch from base 266 to 419 matches the Rfam family "5.8S ribosomal RNA". The record is from RNAcentral. Lineage: Eukaryota; Fungi; Basidiomycota; Agaricomycetes; Agaricales; Galerinaceae.